Molecule: long non-coding RNA, 386 nt
Filed under: Mytilus galloprovincialis (Mediterranean mussel)
Lineage: Eukaryota; Metazoa; Mollusca; Bivalvia; Mytilida; Mytilidae
Source: RNAcentral
GUUCAAAGACCCUUUCAUAAUCUAAAAAUGCAAGUUUUUUUUAAUAAUAUUUUGACAAUACUUUGUUCUCAAAGCAAAAUGUAUAAAUUCAGUGUAAAACUUAAGUUUCUAGAGUCAACAUCAAAAGACCAAUGUGCAUGAUAAAGCAAAAAUGGAAUUCACAUAGUUAAGUGACUGUGGCUGGUGUUUUUUUUAAUUUAAACUCAUGAUCAAGUUCAUAACAAAAUUACUAGAUUACAAAAGGAAUGCAACACUAACAGAAUACAGAAGGGUAAUCAAUGAACAAACGACAAAUAAAUAAGAAACAUUGAUCCCGAAAAGUCAGGGCUACGUCUGAGGGGAAACAGAACUUGCUUCUUGCAAGGCACUCGCCGUGAACAUAAUUU